CUUCGGUCUCACUAUUCAUUCAUUCUUUCCAUCGCCGGGCACAGAUGUACUGAAAACCUGCUAAGUACCACGGACUGUUCUAAGGGCUGGAGGAUACAUCAGAGAGCAAGAUAGCCUUCCCUCUGCCUUUGUAGAGCGCUUACAUUCUGGUGAAGGCAAGACAGACAAGUAUUGUAAGCAAAUCAUGUAGUAUGUUGAAAGGUCAAGGCCACAAAAAGUAAGGGGGCAGGUGGCAGUGGGAGGCAGUUUGCAGAAUAUAAAAGGCUGUCUGGGCAAGCCUCUUGAGGAGGUCAGAGAAGAGAGGAGGGGGGCAGAGCUUUGCAGGCUAUUGCUAUUGUGAAGACUUUGGGUUUUACUUCGAGUCUCAGCAAUUACAGAUUUGAGCAAAGAAUUGCUGUGAUGUGAGUAGGGACAUACUAGUGAUGAUGAUGGUAAAUGUCACAUGCAAGGCCCUUCACUGCUCUGAGCUUUGUAGAAUGGGGUGAAUAAUGCCAGCCUGACAUGCUUGUUGGAGGGUCAGAUGGGAUGACGUGAGACACCUAUAAGGCAGUCAGCUCCCUGUGCUCCUCUGAUCCUUCCCGUCCCAGGUGCUGUAGAAAGUCAGAACCCCAACUUCUACUCCAGGCUGAGCUGCUUACAAGUUGCACACACAGAAGUCAGGGGAAUUACGAAGAGCUGUGCAUAGGGAAGGAUGGCCUUGGGCCUUGGCUCUGCAGUAAUCUUGGCUAUAUCCUGUGGUGAAAGGCUUUGACAUCCAGACCUUCUCAGUCAACA
This 774-nucleotide long non-coding RNA is filed under the name Homo sapiens (human). RNAcentral's name for it is "HSALNT0222797". The record is from RNAcentral. Lineage: Eukaryota; Metazoa; Chordata; Mammalia; Primates; Hominidae.